Asparagus officinalis (garden asparagus) is the source of this 3422-nucleotide RNA transcript. RefSeq lists it as uncharacterized. Lineage: Eukaryota; Viridiplantae; Streptophyta; Magnoliopsida; Asparagales; Asparagaceae. The transcript is spliced from 6 exons. The record is from RefSeq and is a predicted model, not a curated record.
UCGUGGGAACAAACUAUUUGAGGUCGCCAAAAUACUGACGAGAAGUUCGACGCACCACCGCAUCAACUUUUCACAAAAACCCCUUGAGAACUGUUUUCUUUGCGACAAAUUUUGGGAGAGCAGAGAGAGAAAGAGAGAGGGGUCCAGUGGCAACUCUCCCUGACGCAGUGAUUCUCGUUACCAUCGUCGCUUGUCUGCUCGAUUUCCUGGAAAGAUAUCUGCUAUCGCUCGCUUUAAUCUCAUUGUUGUGGCUAUGAAGGGAGAGCCCUUGAAGAUCAUGAUAUCUGGGGCUCCUGCAUCCGCGUAGGGAACCUAAUGUUAGUUCGUCACAAAAAAGGAAGGGAGGGAGGGACUUGAUUAAUGGAAGAGUGCCAUUUUUUAUUUGAGGGAAGGGAUAUCCAUGCUUUGGUGUCGGUUUUUUAUUAAUUUGGCUUAUCUGUUGGUUUUGUUCUCUAUACAGUGCAGUAACCUCUCUGCAUCUGAGCUUUUUGCUGAUACGAGGAAUCAUCCUAAUCAGAUGUUGUCGAUUGCAUUGGAAACUGAAACUAUGGUGCUUUGUUUUGAGCAAACAUCAUUGGCGCUUCAGUUGCUACAUUUAUGACAGGAUGCACAUGAUUGAGCUUAAAUUCGUAUCUUCUUUCAAUUUCAGGCUAAUGGGAUUGCUGCAAUGGAAGAUGUGUUUGUUGAGAUAAAACGUGAACUUACUAUAACCAGAAGGCUUUUUCUGAAAUUGCAGCUGAAAAUGGCAAGUGGGUCAAAGACCACAUGGAGAAGGGGAUAUUGGCACUUGAUGAAAUUGUCAUCAUGGCUUGGUUGUUUGAGAUAAUAAAGGAGGGACUUCUACAAGAAGAUGCUCAAGAAAAUGGAUGUGAGUUAAGUUGUGAUUGCAGGCUUAUCAUAAGAAUGUUGAUGUAGGUGAAGAUUUCAUAUACAAGGUGCAUGGAUCCAUAGACUUUAUCAUUCUUUAACUAAUCGAGUCCUUGUGAUCUCGAAAUGGUGCAUUUAUUUUAGUUCCAUCUUUUAUCUGCAAAAAAUAGUGUAGUAGAAAUGAGAAUGUCACGAUGUAUGAGUGGAUAUCCUCUAAGAGAUAGGAUAAGAAAUGAAGCGUUAGUUCUAUGUUGCUCGGGUAAAAUCUGAGCAAUCAUUUGAAAUGGUUUGCUCAAAUACAACAAAUUUCAUUGCAUGCACCGAUUAGGAGAAGUGAUAAGAUUAUAGUUCAUGGAUAAAAACAGAGGCCUAAGAGAAUUUGUUUAGACAAUAUUAAGAAAGAUAUGAUAGUGACUUGUUUAGAGGAGAUAACCCGAAAAAAAAAAUUAGUGAAAGACUAGAAUUCAUGUAGCAGACGCGAAAUAUUUGGGAGAAAUGCUGUGUUGUUAUUGUUGUAAGGCUCAAGAAAGGUGUCCUUUUUUGCUUCGUUAAUUUGUUUGUCAUUAAUCAUUCAGUAUCGUGUUUCAUGUUCUUCGAAUCCAUCUUUUAUGUCUGUCAUAGUAGGGUGGUGUACCUAGACUAUGUUAUGUCCUAUGCUUGAGAUGUUUUUGUGUUACCCUACACUGGUUUUUUUGGACUUUGAGUUUAAUUAAUCUCUUAUUAGUGAAGCAAGGGUGGAUUAAUCAGCCUGACUUUUCCUCGAGAAAAAGAAAUCGCAAGCUGGUUUGCAGUUCUGUUACAUGAUUAGUAUCAUUUCUUGAUUAUUAUCAUUUUUUAGUGAACAUGUAAAAUUAUGAAUGGUGGAAGAAUGACGGCCUUUCUUUUUCAGUGUGUCAACUAAUCCUUGUGCUUAUUUCUAUUUUAAGAUGUCCCAUCUUUUGAGACUGGUGAGUGCAAGUUUCUGAGGGCUAGCGCACUCUAGGCUGAUUGGUAGUCAAAUUGUUGGAGGCUUACAACUAAUUUUACAUUGAGGAGAUUUAUAUUAGUUUCAACUGAAAUCACACUGUAAAGGGGGGUUUGCCAACAACUUAGUGAAUUUAGCAGACAAUAAUCAUACUUUGUACUAAUCUUACUCAUUUUACAGAAUUUGAAAAAAUUAUAAUAUUUUCUUCAUGUACGGGUGACUUCAAGGAUGAUAUCUUAAUUAAAUUCUGGAUGCUCUACAUGUGCUGUGGGAAGAAUCUGUCAUUUUUUUUUAUUUUUUACUUCUAGGAGUUGAACUAGCUUGUUGUCUAUGAUUUGGACAGGGAGAUGGAUAGUCGAAUUAGUAUUCAAAGUCUCUUCUAAGCUUAAGUUAUUUUAAUUAUUGGCUAUUUUUAUUGGCUUCGCCUUUUGCUUUUUUCCUUUUCUUCUAAUAUAAAAUUGGGAAUAAAUUUGGGUUUUCAUCUGUGAGGGGUGGGCAGGGAGAUGAAUCUAAAUUAAAUUGAUUGGGCUUUAGUUAUGACUUUGCAGUUUGAAGGUUCAGCUUUCAGACCUGAUUCUUACUUGUAUAGUCUGAUAAAUUUGAAGAAACUGAAAUAAUAAAAAAUGAUUUAAAAAAUUUAAUGUUUAAGAUAAAGAGGGAUAACAUACUUCAACUUAUAUAUACUCUUGAUGUGAUUAUAUGUUUUUUUUGGGUAUCAGAUAGAAAUGAACAUACAUAUCAGGUAUGUUACUUUGCUUUCUUAUCUGUGGGUUUGUUCUUUAUACAGUGCAAUAACCUCUCUGCAGCUGAGCUUUUUGCUGAUACUAGGAAUCAUCCUAAUCAGAAUGUUGUAGAUUUCAUUUGAAACUGAAUGUGGUGCUUUGUUUUGUGCAAAUGUCAUUGGUGUUUCAGUUUCUACAUUUAUGACAUGAUGCACACACCACACAGUUUGAGCUUAGAUUUGUACCUUAUUUCAGUCUCAGGUCAAUGGGAAUGCUCCAAAGGAAGAUGUGUUUGUUGAGAUAGACUGUGCACUGCCCUUAGUUCUUGAGAAGUCAGAGCUCAAUUUACCAUCAAUGGCUGCUUAUGUAGCUAGUUAGAAAGCAUUGGCGUCAGCAUAUUUGGCACUCAGUUAUAAUCAUAUUUCAAGCAUGCCGGUAAGAUGGUUUUGUAGUUAUUUGUCAUUAGCUUAGUCUCUUAUAUUGCAUAAUAGCUCCUUGUACCUGCAUUACUAAGAAGUUCAUAAUAUUUUCAACUGCAUUAUCAGUUUCUUCAGAUUUUUUUUCCCAGAAGUUUGUGGUUCCGUACAAGAAAUCUUGUCACAGACUGUAAACUUAGAAAAAAUUCUUUUAAUGAUACAAGUCAUUAGUUUCUUAGCGCUUACAGAGUCUGAGAAUAUUUUUAUCUUCAAACUAGAAAUGCAAGUUUUUCUCAGAUGUGCCAAACUAUGAGAUGUGGUUUCUAUUUCCAUUUGAUAGCAGCGUGUGUGGGGGUUUGCAUACAUACAUGAUAGAAUUUUGAUUGCUUCUGGAAGGAUUCGAAGUCAGAUCCUUCCUGUUCAAAUUUGAUAUUCCCAAAAAAAAAUCUUAAG